GGAUCGGUAGUUCAGUUGGUUAGAAUGCCGCCCUGUCACGGCGGAGGUCGCGGGUUCGAGUCCCGUCCGGUCCGCAA
RNAcentral lists this transfer RNA (77 nucleotides) under Citrobacter freundii. Its description in RNAcentral is "tRNA-Asp". It matches the Rfam family "tRNA". From Rfam's summary of the family: Transfer RNA (tRNA) molecules are approximately 80 nucleotides in length. Their secondary structure includes four short double-helical elements and three loops (D, anti-codon, and T loops). Further hydrogen bonds mediate the characteristic L-shaped molecular structure. tRNAs have two regions of fundamental functional importance: the anti-codon, which is responsible for specific mRNA codon recognition, and the 3' end, to which the tRNAs corresponding amino acid is attached (by aminoacyl-tRNA synthetases). tRNAs cope with the degeneracy of the genetic code in two manners: having more than one tRNA (with a specific anti-codon) for a particular amino acid; and 'wobble' base-pairing, i.e. permitting non-standard base-pairing at the 3rd anti-codon position. Lineage: Bacteria; Pseudomonadati; Pseudomonadota; Gammaproteobacteria; Enterobacterales; Enterobacteriaceae. RNAcentral also lists the same sequence under 44 other names. The record is from RNAcentral.